RNAcentral lists this ribosomal RNA (373 nucleotides) under uncultured organism. RNAcentral describes it as "bacterial SSU rRNA". It matches the Rfam family "Bacterial small subunit ribosomal RNA", at positions 526 to 896 of the family's 1533-position model. The record is from RNAcentral.
CGGAGGAUCCAAGCGUUAUCCGGAUUUACUGGGCGUAAAGAGUUGCGUAGGUGGUUUAUCAAGUUUCCGUUUAAAUGCCAAGGCUCAACCUUGGAAGUGACGGAAAAACUGAUAAACUCGAGAAUGAGAGAGGUCACUGGAAUUUCCUGUGUAGGAGUGAAAUCCGUAGAUAUGAGAAGGAACACCGAUGGCGUAGGCAGGUGACUGGCUCAUUUCUGACACUGAGGCACGAAAGCGUGGGGAGCGAACGGGAUUAGAUACCCCGGUAGUCCACGCCGUAAACGAUGGAUGCUAGCUGUAAGGAGUAUCGACCCUUCUUGUAGCGAAGCUAACGCGUUAAGCAUCCCGCCUGGGGAGUACGGUCGCAAGAUUA